Molecule: long non-coding RNA, 2239 nt
Filed under: Canis lupus dingo (dingo)
Lineage: Eukaryota; Metazoa; Chordata; Mammalia; Carnivora; Canidae
Description: lncRNA (ENSCAFG00020018400.1)
Source: RNAcentral
CUCGCCCAGACGCCCACCAGGGGCCUUGCUGUCCUGCGUUGUGAUGAGCAGCCAGGGGUUCUCCCAGCUGCCAACGGGCAAAACUUGUCUUGAGCACUCAGGGUCUGUGAGCUCAUGUACAGUAUUCAGCCUAUGCCUUAGUUUCCACACCUAUAAAACAUGGCUUUGAAUACUGCCUACAUCGUAGGCCUGUUGUGAGGAUUAAGUGAGCUAAUGUGUGCAGAGGGCUUAGCAUAUUACCUGGCAGAUAUUAUGUGCUCAAAAAAUAUUAAUUACUGUGACUAUCAGCAACAUAAUCACUAUCAACGCCAUCAUCAUCAUCACUAGCAUCAGCUUUAUUACCACCAUCAUCACCACCAUCACCAUCACCAUCAUCAUCACCAUCAUCACCACCAUCACCAUCACCAUCAUCAUCACCAUCAUCACCACCAUCAUCACCACCAUCAUCACCACCCACUGUCAUCAUCAUCACCACCAUCAUCACCACCCACCGUCAUCAUCAUCACCACCAUCAUCAUCAUCACCACCAUCAUCACCACCAUCACCACCAUCAUCACCACCACCAUCACCAUCAUCACCACCAUCACCACCAUCACCAUCAUCAUUGUCACCAUCAUCACCACCACCAUCACCAUUAUCUUCACCAUCACCAACAUCAUCACCAUCAUCACCAUCAUCACUAUCAUCAUCAUUACCAUCAUUACCAUCACCACCAUCACCAUCAUCAUCAUCACCAUCAUCACCACCACAUCACCACCAUCAUCCUCACCAUCACCAUCAUCAUCACCACCAUCACCAUCACAUCACCACCAUCAUCGUCACCAUCAUCACCAUCACCAUCACCAUCAUCAUCACCAUAAUCACCACCACCAUCACCAUUAUCUUCACCAUCACCACCAUCAUCGUCACCAUCACCAUCAUCACUAUCAUCAUCAUUACCAUCAUUACCAUCACCACCAUCACCAUCAUCAUCAUCACCAUCAUCACCACCACCAUCACAAUUAUCUUCACCAUCACCAGCAUCAUCAUCACCAUCAUCACCACCACCAUCACCGUUAUCUUCACCAUCAUCAUCACCACCAUCAUCACCAUCAUCCUCACCAUCACCAUCAUCAUCACCACCAUCACCACCACAUGACCACCAUCAUCCUCACCAUCAUCACCAGCACCAUCACCAUCAUCAUCAUCACCAUCAUCACCACCACCAUCACCAUUAUCUUCAUCAUCACCAACAUCAUCAUCACCAUCAUCAGCACCAUCACCACCAUCACCAACAUCAUCAUCACCAUCAUCACCACCAUCACCAUCAUCAUCAUCACCAUCAUCACCACCACCAUCACAAUUAUCUUCACCAUCACCAGCAUCAUCACCAUCAUCACCACCACCAUCACAAUUAUCUUCACUAUCACCAACAUCAUCAUCACCAUCAUCACCACCACCAUCACCGUUAUCUUCACCAUCAUCAUCACCACCAUCAUCACCAUCAUCCUCACCAUCACCAUCAUCAUCACCACCAUCACCACAACAUCACCACCAUCAUCACGACCACCAUCACCAUUAUCUUCAUCAUCACCAACAUCAUCAUCACCAUCAUCAUCACCAUCACCACCAUCACCAACAUCAUCACCAUCAUCACCACCAUCACCAUCAUCAUCAUCACCAACAUCACCACCACCAUCAUCACCACCAUCAUCAUCACCAUCACCAUCAUCACUAUCAUCAUCAUUACCAUCAUUAUCAUCAUCACCAUCAUCAUCAUCAUCAUCAUCAUCAUCAUCAUCAUCAUCAUUUUCCCUCCUGAACUUUCAAGCUCCCUGCAGGUAGAGAACAAGUAUGAGUCAUCAUUGUCUAGCUGGACACGUAGCCUGACACAGAGUAGACACUAUUAAAUCUUGUUGGAGGAUAAAGUGGAUGGGCAGGUAGGCAGAUGGGUGAAUGAACAGAUGAAGGAAGGGGUAGAUGGCUGUAUAAACAAAUGAAUGGGUGUGUGGAUAAAGAGUGGUGGGAUGGAUGAAUGAGUCAGUGAAUGAGUGAGUGAGCUGCUGUAAGGAAGAGCAGAUGGACAGCCGAGGGGAUUCCUCCCACGCUGGCCUCUGCAGAUGCUGAACUGCUGAGUAAUGGCAGGCAUCGCAGUGUCCCCACAGAGUGAUGAUAUUAAAAUCCCUGAAGACUAUGUUGUCAAUAUCCGGGGGAGACGAUCUCUGGAGCCAUCAGCAGCAGAAGUGAGCUCCCUGCAAUU